AACCAAAGUGUUGAGCCUAGUUCAGUGCUGCUUCCCAUCCUGGUAAUUAAACUCUGGGACAUUAAGAUAAGGUCUGGGAGAGAUGACUGGGUAAAAGGUAUGUUUCUAUUAAUUUCCUCCUAACUUAGGAAA
Molecule: small nucleolar RNA, 132 nt
Organism: Sorex araneus (European shrew)
Lineage: Eukaryota; Metazoa; Chordata; Mammalia; Eulipotyphla; Soricidae
Source: Ensembl